UGCGCAGGCGGGCUUGUAAGUCAGUGGUGAAAUACUGCCGCUUAACGGUAGAACUGCCAUUGAUACUGCGAGUCUUGAAUAUGGUUGAGGUAGGCGGAAUGUGUUGUGUAGCGGUGAAAUGCAUAGGUAUGACACAGAACGCCAAUUGCGAAGGCAGCUUACUAAGCCAUUAUUGACGCUGAGGCACGAAAGCGUGGGGAGCGAACAGGAUUAGAUACCCUGGUAGUCC
RNAcentral lists this ribosomal RNA (229 nucleotides) under uncultured bacterium. RNAcentral's name for it is "partial 16S ribosomal RNA". It matches the Rfam family "Bacterial small subunit ribosomal RNA", at positions 568 to 796 of the family's 1533-position model. The record is from RNAcentral.